This 161-nucleotide ribosomal RNA is filed under the name uncultured Cytophagales bacterium. RNAcentral's name for it is "partial 16S ribosomal RNA". It matches the Rfam family "Bacterial small subunit ribosomal RNA", at positions 355 to 508 of the family's 1533-position model. Lineage: Bacteria; Pseudomonadati; Bacteroidota; Sphingobacteriia; Sphingobacteriales. The record is from RNAcentral.
UGGGGAAUAUUGCACAAUGGACGGAAGUCUGAUGCAGCAAUGCCGCGUGUGUGAAGAAGGCCUUAGGGUUGUAAAGCACUUUCAGACGUGAGGAAAAGUUAGCUAUUAAUACUAGUUAGCCCUGACGUUAACGUCAGAAGAAGGACCGGCUAACUCCGUGC